GGAGCCGUAGCGAAAGCGAGUUUUAACUGAGCGUUCAGUUACUUGACGUAGACCCGAAACCGGGCGACCUACCCCUGAGCAGGAUGAAGCGAAAGUAAAAUUUCGUGGAGGUCCGAACCCACGAGCGUUGAAAAGCUCGGGGAUGACUUGUGGGUAGCGGUGAAAUUCCAAUCGAGCCCGGAGAUAGCUGGUUCUCCCCGAAAUAGCUUUAGGGCUAGCCUCAAGGUGAGAGAUACGGAGGUAGAGCACUGAAUGUCCUAGGGGGUAUUGCACCUA
RNAcentral lists this ribosomal RNA (276 nucleotides) under Clostridioides difficile. Its description in RNAcentral is "partial 23S ribosomal RNA". It matches the Rfam family "Bacterial large subunit ribosomal RNA", at positions 662 to 938 of the family's 2925-position model. The record is from RNAcentral. Lineage: Bacteria; Bacillati; Bacillota; Clostridia; Peptostreptococcales; Peptostreptococcaceae.